AGGUCAUUUGAAUUUGCUCACUGUUCUCGUUGUAGGAUUGAUUGGCUUCAAAGGGAUGGGAUCCUCCUCCUUGAGCUCGAUAGAGUACUUAGGCCCAGAGGCUAUUUUGCGUACUCAUCCCCUGAAGCAUAUGCACAGGCCAAAGGGAUGGAAUCCUCCUCCUUGAGCUCGAUAGAGUACUUAGGCCCAGAGGCUAUUUUGCGUACUCAUCCCCUGAAGCAUAUGCACAGGAUGAAGAGGAUUUAAGAAUAUGGAGGGAGAUGAGCGCACUUGUCGAACGCAUGUGCUGGAGAAUUGCAGCGAAAAGGAACCAAACUGUCAUUUGGCAAAAGCCUCUAAACAAUGAUUGUUACAUGGAAAGACCUCCUGGUACUCAACCACCGCUCUGUCGGUCUGAUGAUGAUCCUGAUGCUGUUUGGGGUGUGAAUAUGGAACCAUGCAUAACACCUUAUUCUGAAUGUAAGUGCUUGCCCCUCUUGUCGGUCUUUCUUUUGGUGUCGAUGCAUAACACCUUAUUCUGAACGUAAGUGCUUGCCCCUCUUGUCGGUCUUUCUUUUGGUGUCCCCUAGUACAACAACUAUAGCACAACUCUGCCUCAAGCAAGCUAGUUCAGUCGGCUCUUCUAAAGUUCAUUUCAUGACUGAAGAGUUCGGAAAUAAUACCAUAGUAUAGUAAAGGAGUUUCCAGCUAACUGCUAAACACCAGUUCUGGCUUGAAUUCUGUGCUCUAAAUUGUUUUUCUAUCCUGAUUUCGAUUAUCCAUUUUUGACUAAUUUUGAGUGCUAGUUUGUGAUUGCGACUUAAGCAAUUUGAAGUUGUGGUAUUUUAUUUUUAAUUUUGUUAAAGGGUCCCACAUAGGUUGAUGGACCUUAUAACUGCAUGUUUCUUUCUUGUGUUUUUAUUAUAUAUGAGUAUUUUGACAAGAGGUGCUUGGUCUGAUGGUAACCAACCCUCACUUACAACCGAGAGGUUGUGAG
Molecule: long non-coding RNA, 976 nt
Filed under: Nicotiana benthamiana
Lineage: Eukaryota; Viridiplantae; Streptophyta; Magnoliopsida; Solanales; Solanaceae
Description: long non-coding RNA (NBEN_LNC040738)
Source: RNAcentral